AGAUCUCCCUGUACUACCUGUACAGUUCCAGAUCCCCCUGUACCUGGACCCUCUGUAUCAGCCCGCCCACCUGUACGUGUACAAUCAGACCCCUUUGAUAGUGACAGUGACCCAGAUGACCCUGAGCCUUUCCAUGGUUUUGAUGCCUCGCCCUAUACAUCAGAUCUAGAUGUUCCCUCAUCAGUUGAUACGAGUAUCACCUCUCCAGAGCCCAAAUCAGUUGAUACGAGUAGUAUCACCUCUCCCAUUCCUUCAGACUCCCAAGCACCUGCCCAUCCCACUCCAUAGCCCAGCCACCCACUCCCAUGCA
Macrobrachium nipponense is the source of this 310-nucleotide long non-coding RNA. RefSeq lists it as uncharacterized. The transcript is spliced from 4 exons. The record is from RefSeq and is a predicted model, not a curated record. Lineage: Eukaryota; Metazoa; Arthropoda; Malacostraca; Decapoda; Palaemonidae.